ACGGCCGCAAGGUUAAAACUCAAAUGAAUUGACGGGGGCCCGCACAAGCGGUGGAGCAUGUGGUUUAAUUCGAUGCAACGCGAAGAACCUUACCUGGUCUUGACAUCCACGGAAGUUUUCAGAGAUGAGAAUGUGCCUUCGGGAACCGUGAGACAGGUGCUGCAUGGCUGUCGUCAGCUCGUGUUGUGAAAUGUUGGGUUAAGUCCCGCAACGAGCGCAACCCUUAUCCUUUGUUGCCAGCGGUCCGGCCGGGAACUCAAAGGAGACUGCCAGUGAUAAACUGGAGGAAGGUGGGGAUGACGUCAAGUCAUCAUGGCCCUUACGACCAGGGCUACACACGUGCUACAAUGGCGCAUACAAAGAGAAGCGACCUCGCGAGAGCAAGCGGACCUCAUAAAGUGCGUCGUAGUCCGGAUUGGAGUCUGCAACUCGACUCCAUGAAGUCGGAAUCGCUAGUAAUCGUGGAUCAGAAUGCCACGGUGAAUACGUUCCCGGGCCUUGUACACACCGCCCGUCACACCAUGGGAGUGGGUUGCAAAAGAAGUAGGUAGCUUAACCUUCGGGAGGGCGCUUACCACUUUGUGAUUCAUGACUGGGGUGAAGUCGUAACAAGGUAACCGUAGGGGAACCUGCGGUUGGAUC
RNAcentral lists this ribosomal RNA (642 nucleotides) under Escherichia coli. RNAcentral's name for it is "bacterial SSU rRNA". It matches the Rfam family "Bacterial small subunit ribosomal RNA", at positions 882 to 1524 of the family's 1533-position model. RNAcentral also lists the same sequence under 2 other names. The record is from RNAcentral. Lineage: Bacteria; Pseudomonadati; Pseudomonadota; Gammaproteobacteria; Enterobacterales; Enterobacteriaceae.